UCAAGUGAUCCACCAGCCUUGGCCUCCCAAAGUGCGGGAUUACAGGGCCUAAAAUCCAACCUCAAAUUGGAAACUGGAAAUGCAGAGGAGAAAGGAGCUAAGCUGAUGGGCGAAGUCACGAAGUCCUUGUGAGGCUGUUUCCUUACCCUUUGAUGAGGUGUAGUCACAGCUUCAGAGGCUCCCCGCAAAGUUUUUGUCAUCAGUGAUGGAACACAAGAUGUAAGAGCUGAAGAGUUAUGAACACAAAUGUGAAACCUUGCCUACUGGAGCUGCCACUAGAAAGCCCGCCAACAUGGCAUUGGGACGAAUAUAAUCAAAGUCUCCCACCCCUAAACAGAGAAAAACAAAAUAUAGCAUAUGGCCAAAGUGAUUUAUCUUUAUACUUUUUUUAAUCUUUAAAAGAUAUUUAUUGCCCUAUAAUAUACCUACAGAAAAAUGCACUGACCCUCAGUGUACAUGAGAUUCUUUCAUAAAUUUCAUGUGUACAUGCGUACUUCAAGUGUACGUGAAAUGACCUCUGUUUAUAUUCCAUCACAAUGCCUGGACAAGACUUACUUAAUAUAAGUGAAAAAAUCA
This 576-nucleotide long non-coding RNA is filed under the name Homo sapiens (human). RNAcentral describes it as "HSALNT0309037". Lineage: Eukaryota; Metazoa; Chordata; Mammalia; Primates; Hominidae. The record is from RNAcentral.